Molecule: ribosomal RNA, 253 nt
Filed under: uncultured bacterium
Lineage: Bacteria
Description: partial 16S ribosomal RNA
Rfam family: Bacterial small subunit ribosomal RNA
Source: RNAcentral
UACGGGGGGGGCAAGCGUUGUUCGGAAUUACUGGGCGUAAAGGGCUCGUAGGCGGCCAACUAAGUCAGACGUGAAAUCCCCAGGCUUAACCUGGGAACUGCGUCUGAUACUGGAUGGCUUGAAUCCGGGAGAGGGAUGCAGAAUUCCAGGUGUAGCGGUGAAAUGCGUAGAUAUCUGGAGGAAUACCGGUGGCGAAGGCGGCAUCCUGGACCGGCAUUGACGCUGAGGAGCGAAAGCCAGGGGAGCAAACGGG